AUGUACACAUUUGUUCACUAUUGCAAUCCAAUGAGGACCAGUCAGCGAAGCAGUCCGGACGUCUCCGUGGUCUAUAUCUCUUUUCUUUCUCUUCACAUGCAUGACUCCCCUCUCCUCUCUCUCUUCCCAACAAGACACCAUACCUUAAAUAGCCAUCAUAUGUAUGGUCCUCAUCUACAUUUUUUUCUCCCAGCCGGAUACUUUGUAAUCAGCGUUGGAUGGUUCUCUCUCAUAUCAUGUUCGUGGACCAUGCCUGGACACAAAAACAGAUAUAUACCAAAGAAAUUUACGGGUCGGUGUUGGAGAUGA
RNAcentral lists this ribosomal RNA (309 nucleotides) under Triticum aestivum (bread wheat). RNAcentral describes it as "partial small subunit ribosomal RNA". The record is from RNAcentral. Lineage: Eukaryota; Viridiplantae; Streptophyta; Magnoliopsida; Poales; Poaceae.